RNAcentral lists this microRNA precursor (69 nucleotides) under Bos grunniens (domestic yak). RNAcentral's name for it is "miRNA (ENSBGRG00000005273.1)". The stretch from base 1 to 59 matches the Rfam family "mir-29 microRNA precursor family", at positions 10 to 70 of the family's 70-position model. Rfam says of the family: This family represents the microRNA (miRNA) precursors mir-29. Animal miRNAs are transcribed as ~70nt precursors and subsequently processed by the Dicer enzyme to give a ~22nt product. The record is from RNAcentral. Lineage: Eukaryota; Metazoa; Chordata; Mammalia; Artiodactyla; Bovidae.
AUUUCUUUUGGUGUUCAGAGUCAAUAUAAUUUUCUAGCACCAUCUGAAAUCGGUUAUAAUGAUUGGGGA